This 1828-nucleotide ribosomal RNA is filed under the name Shigella flexneri. RNAcentral's name for it is "partial 23S ribosomal RNA". It matches the Rfam family "Bacterial large subunit ribosomal RNA", at positions 1054 to 2861 of the family's 2925-position model. The record is from RNAcentral. Lineage: Bacteria; Pseudomonadati; Pseudomonadota; Gammaproteobacteria; Enterobacterales; Enterobacteriaceae. RNAcentral also lists the same sequence under 1 other name.
CAUGGUUAAGUGGGAAACGAUGUGGGAAGGCCCAGACAGCCAGGAUGUUGGCUUAGAAGCAGCCAUCAUUUAAAGAAAGCGUAAUAGCUCACUGGUCGAGUCGGCCUGCGCGGAAGAUGUAACGGGGCUAAACCAUGCACCGAAGCUGCGGCAGCGACGCUUAUGCGUUGUUGGGUAGGGGAGCGUUCUGUAAGCCUGUGAAGGUGUGCUGUGAGGUAUGCUGGAGGUAUCAGAAGUGCGAAUGCUGACAUAAGUAACGAUAAAGCGGGUGAAAAGCCCGCUCGCCGGAAGACCAAGGGUUCCUGUCCAACGUUAAUCGGGGCAGGGUGAGUCGACCCCUAAGGCGAGGCCGAAAGGCGUAGUCGAUGGGAAACAGGUUAAUAUUCCUGUACUUGGUGUUACUGCGAAGGGGGGACGGAGAAGGCUAUGUUGGCCGGGCGACGGUUGUCCCGGUUUAAGCGUGUAGGCUGGUUUUCCAGGCAAAUCCGGAAAAUCAAGGCCGAGGCGUGAUGACGAGGCACUACGGUGCUGAAGCAACAAAUGCCCUGCUUCCAGGAAAAGCCUCUAAGCAUCAGGUAACAUCAAAUCGUACCCCAAACCGACACAGGUGGUCAGGUAGAGAAUACCAAGGCGCUUGAGAGAACUCGGGUGAAGGAACUAGGCAAAAUGGUGCCGUAACUUCGGGAGAAGGCACGCUGAUACGUAGGUGAAGCGACUUGCUCGUGGAGCUGAAAUCAGUCGAAGAUACCAGCUGGCUGCAACUGUUUAUUAAAAACACAGCACUGUGCAAACACGAAAGUGGACGUAUACGGUGUGACGCCUGCCCGGUGCCGGAAGGUUAAUUGAUGGGGUUAGCGCAAGCGAAGCUCUUGAUCGAAGCCCCGGUAAACGGCGGCCGUAACUAUAACGGUCCUAAGGUAGCGAAAUUCCUUGUCGGGUAAGUUCCGACCUGCACGAAUGGCGUAAUGAUGGCCAGGCUGUCUCCACCCGAGACUCAGUGAAAUUGAACUCGCUGUGAAGAUGCAGUGUACCCGCGGCAAGACGGAAAGACCCCGUGAACCUUUACUAUAGCUUGACACUGAACAUUGAGCCUUGAUGUGUAGGAUAGGUGGGAGGCUUUGAAGUGUGGACGCCAGUCUGCAUGGAGCCGACCUUGAAAUACCACCCUUUAAUGUUUGAUGUUCUAACGUGGACCCGUGAUCCGGGUUGCGGACAGUGUCUGGUGGGUAGUUUGACUGGGGCGGUCUCCUCCUAAAGAGUAACGGAGGAGCACGAAGGUUGGCUAAUCCUGGUCGGACAUCAGGAGGUUAGUGCAAUGGCAUAAGCCAGCUUGACUGCGAGCGUGACGGCGCGAGCAGGUGCGAAAGCAGGUCAUAGUGAUCCGGUGGUUCUGAAUGGAAGGGCCAUCGCUCAACGGAUAAAAGGUACUCCGGGGAUAACAGGCUGAUACCGCCCAAGAGUUCAUAUCGACGGCGGUGUUUGGCACCUCGAUGUCGGCUCAUCACAUCCUGGGGCUGAAGUAGGUCCCAAGGGUAUGGCUGUUCGCCAUUUAAAGUGGUACGCGAGCUGGGUUUAGAACGUCGUGAGACAGUUCGGUCCCUAUCUGCCGUGGGCGCUGGAGAACUGAGGGGGGCUGCUCCUAGUACGAGAGGACCGGAGUGGACGCAUCACUGGUGUUCGGGUUGUCAUGCCAAUGGCACUGCCCGGUAGCUAAAUGCGGAAGAGAUAAGUGCUGAAAGCAUCUAAGCACGAAACUUGCCCCGAGAUGAGUUCUCCCUGACCCUUUAAGGGUCCUGAAGGAACGUUGAAGACGACGACGUUGAUAGGC